CCUAGGGAGAUGGUGGAGCGACGGGGCGGGCCGGCCUAGGAGACGCGGAGCAAGAAGCGGGCGAGCGGCGGCUGCUCCUUUGCCAGCCGGCCGGGAUCCGGGAAGAGGCGCACGCCGACCUGCUCUUCUCCGCCGACAGGGAGACUCGUACACAGAUAGACAACCAAGUCAUGUGGAUCUGUUCAGGGAGACACACCACAACAAGGCCGAUCGCGUCUCCCCCGAAGUAGAACUUGUUCUUAUGACCUCAGAUUGAAAAGGAGAUGUCUCAACCUACUCGAUCGAAUUUAAGCACCCAACCUGAUUUACUGGAGACCGAGCCGAGGGGAAAAGGGGACCUGCAAGAUCUUGUCAACUCCCAUAAUGCUAAUAUGUUCGAGCUUAACAGAAAGGUCCAGGAAGUGAGAGAGAAACAGGCUACCCUUGAGGCAAGGCUUGAAACGUUAACCAGGUCCGUGCCCGAGUAUACAUGGUGAACUGGUGGUGUUAUGGUGAAUAGUUGAACUGUAUUUUGGG
Molecule: long non-coding RNA, 516 nt
Organism: Lolium perenne
Lineage: Eukaryota; Viridiplantae; Streptophyta; Magnoliopsida; Poales; Poaceae
Source: RefSeq, a predicted model, not a curated record